This 523-nucleotide ribosomal RNA is filed under the name Potamocarcinus sp. R619-A12. Its description in RNAcentral is "partial 16S ribosomal RNA". It matches the Rfam family "Bacterial large subunit ribosomal RNA", at positions 1854 to 2627 of the family's 2925-position model. Lineage: Eukaryota; Metazoa; Arthropoda; Malacostraca; Decapoda; Pseudothelphusidae. The record is from RNAcentral.
GACCUGCCCACUGAUAAUAUAAUUUAAUGGCCGCGGUAUUAAUGACCGUGCAAAGGUAGCAUAAUCAUUAKKCUUUUAAUUGAAGGCUUGUAUGAAUGGUUGGACAAAAGGAAAACUGUCUUCUUAAUAUAAAUUGAAUUUAACUUUUAAGUGAAAAGGCUUAAAUAUGUCAGAGGGACGAUAAGACCCUAUAAAGCUUUAUAUAAAAUGAAUUUUAGAUUGAAAUUUUAUUAAAAGAUUAAGAUUUAUGUUUAUAUUGUGUUGGGGUAACAAAAGUAUAAUUGUUAGUAACUGUUUAGUUUAUAUACAGGUAUAUUUGUAUUAUUAAGUGAUCCUUAUUUAAAGAUUUUAAAAUUAAGUUACUUUAGGGAUAACAGCGUAAUUUUUUUAGAGAGUUCCUAUCGAAAAAAGAGUUUGCGACCUCGAUGUUGAAUUAAAAUUUCUAUAUAGUGGAGCUAUUAUAUAAGGAGGUCUGUUCGACCUUUAAUUUUUUACAUGAUUUGAGUUCAAACCGGUGUGAGCC